GAAAAAAAUUAAUACUUGCCGAGAUAAUGAGUGGUGUACCCACUUGAAUCACCCGGUUUAGUUGUUUCUCAUUAUAUCAUCCUGCAAAAACUCAUAUCGCUGAGGUUUAAUAGUAAUCAGUAAUUAUUAUUCCUUUAGCAUACACUGAAGUGCACUCAAGCCGAGAAUUCUACUACACAGCCACAUUAGUUCUAGAGCCUCAGUUUCCCCGCUCGAUGUUUCGUGUUGCAGUUCCGCGUAGCAAGACGGUAAGUACACAAUAUCCCAGUGGGCUAAUUUUAAUAUCAAGUGUAAAAAAACCGCGACAUUCAAAUGGCUUGGCAUUGUUUCGCGGGCCGCGUUCUCGGCUAACCGAAUCCCGGAGCGUUCAAUUUUCACCGAUCGAAGCUGAUCCGCUGUGGGCGAGUACGUAAUUUGCGUUUGCGACGAUCGACCGGAAACGAUAAUAAUACAGGUAAUAUACAGGUACCUACCGUUGGCACUUACACCGCGAUAACGCCGGGCCGCACCGUGCACCCGUAUCGGCGAAUCAAUUAGAUAGGUAGCCG
Non-coding RNA from Cinara cedri, 548 nucleotides. NCBI's taxonomy places the organism in Eukaryota, Metazoa, Arthropoda, Insecta, Hemiptera, Aphididae. The record is from the annotation of a GenBank genome assembly.